GAUGAACGCUGACAGAAUGCUUAACACAUGCAAGUCAUUGGCGAAGCUGCGCUUGCGCAGUCUAGCCAAGGCGGACGGGUGAGUAACGCGUAAGGAACUUGCCCUGCAGACAGGGAUAACAGACGGAAACGACUGAUAACACCUGGUAUUGUCAGGCUGGCGCAUGCCGGCCUGAUGAAAGGAGACGCUGCAGGAGAGCCUUGCGUCCUAUUAGCUAGUUGGUGGGGUAACGGCCCACCAAGGCGAUGAUAGGUAGCCGGCCUGAGAGGGUGAACGGCCACAAGGGGACUGAGAUACGGCCCUUACUCCUACGGGAGGCAGCAGUGGGGAAUAUUGGACAAUGGGGGCAACCCUGAUCCAGCAAUUCUGUGUGCACGAAGAAGGUUUUCGGAUUGUAAAGUGCUUUCAGCAGGGAAGAAGAAAGUGACGGUACCUGCAGGAGAAGCGACGGCUAAAUACGUG
RNAcentral lists this ribosomal RNA (462 nucleotides) under uncultured bacterium. RNAcentral describes it as "partial 16S ribosomal RNA". It matches the Rfam family "Bacterial small subunit ribosomal RNA", at positions 28 to 507 of the family's 1533-position model. The record is from RNAcentral.